Molecule: long non-coding RNA, 3551 nt
Filed under: Cricetulus griseus (Chinese hamster)
Lineage: Eukaryota; Metazoa; Chordata; Mammalia; Rodentia; Cricetidae
Description: lncRNA (ENSCGRG00015030476.1)
Source: RNAcentral
CUUAAAGAAGAAAUAGUAACUCUCUUAAAAAAAAAAAAAAGAAAGAAAGAAAAAAAAAAAACCUUUUAAAAUCCCUGGUGUCCUCUGGGCGUGGCGAAUUUUUAAGUGCUUCACAACAAGAUUGUGCGCACCCUUGCUUCUGAACACUGACCCGUCAGACUUCCUGUCCAGCAUCCUGUCACUUCCAAGUCCUCCCUGGCUCUACCUGGAGGUUGAGGAAAUGACGGCGUCUGGCUUGGACUUCAAAGCCUUGUAGAAAAGAAACACAGGUUCUUCACAAGCUAGGAUCUAGUUUACAGAACAAAGCCCCUGUUCUGGGUGUUUGUGGGAGAGUCUAGGAGAGGCAACAAGUGAGCGCGUUAGAAACAUCUAUCUUGGAGUCAUACUGUCUUGGCUCAAAUCCUUCCACUAUUUAUGAAGAGCAGAGCACAUUUCUUAACUCUCCUGCCUCUUGGGUAAAAUGAAGGUGGUGAGCACAGUACUUGUGAAUUUGGAGUGAGUUUAGUUCCCAGUAGAUGAGUACAGGGCCUCAUGUUGCACUGUAAUGACUCAUGGGCUGCUCAAACUGAAAAAAAAAAAAGAGCCCCUUUAGUGGGGGUGAGUCCAGACAAGGCUCAAGGGGGAUAAGUUCAAUAGGACUGUACUGCAAAGAGCUUGGAGACUUAAAUGGACCUCCUUAAACAGGAAGCUAGCAGCCUCCUAUUCCCUUGGCCUCCCUUUUCAAUCCUACUCGGGCCCCUCCUUCCAGAGCCCGAUUUAUACAGUAUCACACAUGGUCCCCAAAUGUUGCUCUUUAGUUUCCCUAGUAGUAUGGGGGGUGGGGCUGCCAGUACUCCUGAGCAGGCUGGUUUGCCCCCAAUACUUCAGGGAAAGCAUCUGUCCUUCCCCAAGCACUUGGAGAAUACAGCCUUGUUCGGGCUUGGAAGCUCUGGUGGGAGCAGUAUGGGAAAGUGCCCUGCCUGUGGGGAACCUCCCUCACUGUGGCCUCUAUUUUUAGUGCUUCCCCAGGCUCUAGCUGGAGAAACCGUUUAGUCAUCAGGGUGUUUAUUUUCCGGCUGUUUCCGACGUCGGGAAAAGCAGAAUGUUGAGACUGGAGAGAUUCUGGGCUGCUGUAAAAGACUUCUUAGGAACAGGCCUGGGAACACUGCCUUCAGACCACUGGGUCCCAGCUCAUAGGAAAACAAAACAGGAUGGGCCCGGGACAGCUAAGCCCUCAGGAGUUUUCAACCUGCCUCAACCUUGGAGGCUAUCCAAGCUAGAGAACCCUCUGGCCCAGCUCUAUCUGAGGAUUGUUUCUCAAAACACAACCAAGCCCAGAAGAAAUUCUUUCCCAGAAUCCCCUCCCCAACCUCUCCUAGAUCUGCCUGGUGAGCCUCCCGCCAACCACAGCCCUAGCCAAUCUCAAACCUGAGGCGGGCCUUCCAGAGCUUUGAUUGGUUGGCUGGGCCUUCUAGACCUGGAAUGUUGAGUCCUUAACAAAGGAAUGAGGAAGGAAGGUGAGUCACCUGGGGAAGGUAUUAAAGGACUAGCUAGAAGGAAAAGGAAGGGGGAAGAGCUCCGGGGAGGUGGGGGCCCUGGACGCUAACGUGCUGACGAGACAGCUCACACGAGACCGGACAAGUGGGACAAAAAUCCAGAGUCUGAAAACAUGUUGGAGCAGAAGCGAAGAGGUGACAACGUGAGGUCCUGAUUUCCACAGAGGACCGAAAAGGGCCAAGGCCUUUAAUAAGCAGCUAGACUCCACUGGUCAAGGUACUCGGACCCAGCAGGCUGGAACCUCAGCAGGUUUGUUGUGACAAUGAGCUCCCACAUGUGGCACCUGCUAGCUGCCAGUCUUCUGCCAUUCAUCCUGGUAUGGCCCCACCUCCUGCAGCCCCCUCUUCUAAGAGGAGAUGGAAGCUGAAAUCCUGGUCUUAUAUGCUCCAGACCUAAGCCAGGGCUGACUGCUGAGGGGGGUACACGAAGCUCUGAGAAAGCCUCUUGUUUAGAGAAAGAGUUGGAGACAAAAAGGGUGUAAGUGUUUUUUCUCUUCAUCCUUGCUUUAUGCCACCACACUGCUCACUAGGGCUUGGAGGCUCUCGGACAAGGAAACUUGAAGAUCAUAGAGGCCAAUGAGUACACCCAUGCCCAUCCAGCAACAAGUGGCUGUGGAGCCAGAUGGCCCCUCAUGCCUAGGAUCCCAGCUUUCCCAAGGCUGAGGCAGGAGGACUGCUGAGAAGCCAAAGCUAGUGAGACUGUGUCUCAGAAAACAAAAGGAAAACCCAGAAAGUAGCUGUGGGAUUCCAGUUCCGUACUGCAUGUGAGCAGACAGGAGUGAUAGGGACAGGGAAAAACCAGCUGGGACCUUAUCACUGCUGAGGAAGACAGCCAGCACCCCAUGAUCAUAGUGACAUAUCCAGAGAUGGUGGGGGGCAAGUACUGAGUUUAACAAGUCUUUCUCGAUGGGCGUUGGUGGGGCACGCCUUUAAUCCCAGCACUCGGGAGAGGCCAGCCUGGUCUCCAGAGCAAGUGCCAGGAUAGGCUCCAAAGCUACACAGAGAAACCCUGUCUUGAAAAACAACAACAAAAACAAACAAACAAAAAACAAACAAACAGCUCCCACCAGCUCCCUAAUAAUGACAUGGAGACUUCUUAUUAAUUAUGAAAGCCCGGUCUAUAGCUUAGGCUUGUUUUUAACAAGUUCUUAAAACUUAAAUUACAUUAGCCCAUCUGUAUUGAUCUACAUUCUAUCACAUGACUCAUGGUUGUCACCUCUCUUCCCGCACAUCCUGCUUGCUCUGUGUCUCUAUCUUUCCCUUCCCAGAGUCCUCUGUGUUCCCAGAAGUCCCACCUGUACCUCCUGUCUAGGUAUUGACCAUUUAGCUCUUUAUUACACCAAUCAUAGCAAUACCUCUUCACACAGUGUACAAAUACCCCGUAUCACUGAAGCAUACUUAGAACGAGACCUUACAAGCACAUGGUGAAGGUGUCACCAAGAAAAAACAAAAAAGAAGGGCGGAAUGAUUGCUGCUCUUCCAGAGGACUGGAAUAAUUCAGUUCCCAGUAGCCAGGUCAUAUGUGGUGGUUUGAAUGAGAACUGUCUCUAUAGGUUCAUAUAUUUGAACGCUUGGUCCCCAGCUGGUGGAACUGUUUGGGAAGGAUUAGGAGGUGUGGCCUUGUUGGAGGAGGUGUGUCACUGGGGGUGGGCUUUGAGGUUUCAAAAGCCCACAGCAUUCCCAGUUAGGACUCUCUCUCUGCCUGGUACUUGUGGAUCAAGAUAUAAGCUCUCAGUUACUGCCCCAGCACCAUGCCUGCCUGUUGGCUGCAAUACUGCCUGACAUGAUGGUCAUGGACACACUCUCUGAAACUGUAAGCCCAAUAAACUCUUUCUUCUCUACGUUUCCUUGGUCAUGGUGUCUUCACAACAAUAGAAAGGUAAGAUAUUGGGGCUGGAGAGAUGGCUCAGAGGUUAAGAGCACUGGCUGAUCUUCCAGAGGUCCUGAGUUCAAGUCCCAGCAAACAGAUCUGGUGCCCUCUUCUGGCAUAUAGGCAUAUAUACAGACAGAACACUG